This 376-nucleotide ribosomal RNA is filed under the name Mycteroperca jordani (Gulf grouper). Its description in RNAcentral is "partial 12S ribosomal RNA". It matches the Rfam family "Bacterial small subunit ribosomal RNA", at positions 962 to 1527 of the family's 1533-position model. Lineage: Eukaryota; Metazoa; Chordata; Actinopteri; Perciformes; Serranidae. The record is from RNAcentral.
CGUUCAACCUCACCCUUCCUUGUUCUCCCCGCCUAUAUACCGCCGUCGUCAGCUUACCCUAUGAAGGCCCUUCAGUAAGCACAAUUGGUACAACCCAAAACGUCAGGUCGAGGUGUAGCGUAUGGAAAGGGAAGAAAUGGGCUACAUUCCCUAUUACAGUGAAUUACGAAUAAUACUACUGAAACGUAUAUCUAGAAGGAGGAUUUAGCAGUAAGCAGAAAAUAGAGCGUUCUACUGAAACCGGCCCUGAAGCGCGCACACACCGCCCGUCACUCUCCCCAAACAUAUCCUAACACUUUAACUUAAAACCUUUCACCAACGAAGGGGAGGCAAGUCGUAACAUGGUAAGUGUACCGGAAGGUGCACUUGGCAAAAC